RNAcentral lists this ribosomal RNA (431 nucleotides) under uncultured bacterium. Its description in RNAcentral is "bacterial SSU rRNA". It matches the Rfam family "Bacterial small subunit ribosomal RNA", at positions 355 to 796 of the family's 1533-position model. The record is from RNAcentral.
UCGAGGAUCUUCGGCAAUGGGCGCAAGCCUGACCGAGCGACGCCGCGUGGGCGAUGAAGGCCUUCGGGUUGUAAAGCCCUGUCGAGGGGGAGAAAAGCGCAAGCUUGAUCUAUCCCUGGAGGAAGCACGGGCUAAGUUCGUGCCAGCAGCCGCGGUAAGACGAACCGUGCGAACGUUGUUCGGAAUCACUGGGCUUAAAGGGCGCGUAGGCGGGCCGCCAAGUCCGGGGUGAAAUCCUCCAGCUUAACUGGAGAACUGCCCCGGAUACUGGAGGUCUCGAGGAGGGUAGGGGCAUGCGGAACUAUGGGUGGAGCGGUGAAAUGCGUUGAUAUCCAUAGGAACUCCGGUGGCGAAGGCGGCGUGCUGGACCCUUUCUGACGCUGAGGCGCGAAAGCCAGGGGAGCAAACGGGAUUAGAUACCCCCGUAGUCC